AUGAGUAGGAGUCGACCGCGCAGCCGCUUGGAGCAAGGGGAUUCUGAGGUACAUGAUGGCAAGCUUCCAGAGAUUCUUUGUGUUUCAGAAAGCAAGUGUCUCCCUUCUCAGCCACCAAAAGAACAAAAAUUGCCAAUCAUAACAUGUGACCAAAGAUUUUCGGAUACCAACGUCUCAGGAAAAUCAUUUGGAGGUCGUCUGUUUGAGAACAGUUGGAAGAAUGCAGUGAUAAAAACAAAAAGGAUGAAACAAAGUACACCAUUUAAAUUUAUCAUAUUGCAAAUUUAUUGUAAAAUAAUUUCAUAAAAGAAACUGUAAAAUAUAGGCCUAGUUGCUAUUCCCAACUAGAGUAAACUCUUUAAUUAGUGGAAUUUACAUAUGUGUUGAUUUAUGAUAUAGUGGCUUACUCUGUUUGGGACUACCAAUUGAACAAGUCCCUGUUACAUAUUUGUCCAUGGUCCUUUUCUGAUGUAACCAUAGCAAUUCAACCAUAAUACCUUCUCUUUUUCAUUUGCCUACAACAAGGCAGAGUGGAGGCGCUUAGAACCCUAUGUCUCCCACUUGUUUUUAAGCUUCAGAUUGGAGCCAUUUGGAGCAUUACAAAGGGGGUAGAAACUUAUUUAGAGUAGAGUCCCCUUUUCCAAACUUGAACUGAAUUUCCCACCACUUCCAGCAUUCAAAUAAAUGAUCUGUGAGCCGAAAUAAGGUAUGCA
This 713-nucleotide long non-coding RNA is filed under the name Pogona vitticeps (central bearded dragon). RNAcentral's name for it is "lncRNA (ENSPVIG00000008210.1)". Lineage: Eukaryota; Metazoa; Chordata; Lepidosauria; Squamata; Agamidae. The record is from RNAcentral.